UCCUACGGGAGGCAGCAGCGGGGAAUCUUAGACAAUGGGCGCAAGCCUGAUCUAGCCAUGCCGCGUGUGUGAUGAAGGCCCUAGGGUCGUAAAGCACUUUCGCCAGGGAUGAUAAUGACAGUACCUGGUAAAGAAACCCCGGCUAACUCCGUGCCAGCAGCCGCGGUAAUACGGAGGGGGUUAGCGUUGUUCGGAAUUACUGGGCGUAAAGCGUACGUAGGCGGAUCAGAAAGUUGGGGGUGAAAUCCCAGGGCUCAACCCUGGAACUGCCUCCAAAACUCCUGGUCUUGAGUUCGAGAGAGGUGAGUGGAAUUCCAAGUGUAGAGGUGAAAUUCGUAGAUAUUUGGAGGAACACCAGUGGCGAAGGCGGCUCACUGGCUCGAUACUGACGCUGAGGUACGAAAGUGUGGGGAGCAAACAGGAUUAGAUACCCUGGUAGUCCACACCGUAAACGAUGAAUGCCAGUCGUCGGGCAGUAUACUGUUCGGUGAUACACCUAACGGAUUAAGCAUUCCGCCUGGGGAGUACGGUCGCAAGAUUAAAACUCAAAUGAAUUGACGG
This 561-nucleotide ribosomal RNA is filed under the name uncultured bacterium. Its description in RNAcentral is "bacterial SSU rRNA". It matches the Rfam family "Bacterial small subunit ribosomal RNA", at positions 337 to 916 of the family's 1533-position model. The record is from RNAcentral.